RNAcentral lists this ribosomal RNA (490 nucleotides) under uncultured bacterium. RNAcentral describes it as "partial 16S ribosomal RNA". It matches the Rfam family "Bacterial small subunit ribosomal RNA", at positions 30 to 507 of the family's 1533-position model. The record is from RNAcentral.
AUUGAACGCUGGCGGCAGGCUUAACACAUGCAAGUCGAACGGUAACAUAAAGGAGCUUGCUUCUUUGAUGACGAGUGGCGGACGGGUGAGUAAUGCUUGGGAAUCUAGCUUAUGGAGGGGGAUAACUACGGGAAACUGUAGCUAAUACCGCGUAGAAUCGGGAGAUGAAAGUGUGGGACCUUCGGGCCACAUGCCAUAGGAUGAGCCCAAGUGGGAUUAGGUAGUUGGUGAGGUAAAGGCUCACCAAGCCGACGAUCUCUAGCUGGUCUGAGAGGAUGGCCAGCCACACUGGGACUGAGACACGGCCCAGACUCCUACGGGAGGCAGCAGUGGGGAAUAUUGCGCAAUGGGGGCAACCCUGACGCAGCCAUGCCGCGUGAAUGAAGAAGGCCUUCGGGUUGUAAAGCUCUUUCGGUAGCGAGGAAGGCAUUUAGUUUAAUAGACUAGGUGAUUGACGUUAACUACAGAAGAAGCACCGGCUAACUCCGUG